This 63-nucleotide transfer RNA is filed under the name Cosmoscarta bispecularis. RNAcentral's name for it is "tRNA-Tyr". The record is from RNAcentral. Lineage: Eukaryota; Metazoa; Arthropoda; Insecta; Hemiptera; Cercopidae.
ACCAAAAUGGCUGAUAAAAGUAAUAAACUGUAAAUUUAUUCAUGAAUAAUAAUUCUUUUGGUA